Molecule: ribosomal RNA, 477 nt
Filed under: uncultured bacterium
Lineage: Bacteria
Description: partial 16S ribosomal RNA
Rfam family: Bacterial small subunit ribosomal RNA
Source: RNAcentral
GAUGAACGCUGGCGGCGUGCUUAACACAUGCAAGUCGAACGAGAAAUGUAGACGGAAACCUUCGGGCGGAAGCCUUCAUUUCGAGUGGCGGACGGGUGAGUAACGCGUGGGUAACCUGCCUCAUACAGGGGGAUAACAGUUGGAAACGACUGUUAAUACCGCAUAAGACCACAGCAUCGCAUGAUGCGGGGGUAAAAACUCCGGUGGUAUGAGAUGGACCCGCGUUCGAUUAGCCAGUUGGCGGGGUAACGGCCCACCAAAGCGACGAUCGAUAGCCGAUCUGAGAGGAUGACCGGCCACAUUGGGACUGAGACACGGCCCAAACUCCUACGGGAGGCAGCAGUGGGGAAUAUUGCACAAUGGGGGAAACCCUGAUGCAGCGACGCCGCGUGAGUGAAGAAGUACUUCGGUAUGUAAAGCUCUAUCAGCAGGGAAGAAAAGGACGGUACCUGAGUAAGAAGCCCCGGCUAACUACGU